GGGGAAUUUUCCGCAAUGGGCGAAAGCCUUGGACGGAGCAAGACCGCGUGAGGGAGGAAGGCUCUUGGGUUGUAAACCUCUUUUCUCAGGGAAGAAGCUCUGACGGUACCUGAGGAAUCAGCCUCGGCUAACUCCGUGCCAGCAGCCGCGGUAAUACGGAGGAGGCAGGCGUUAUCCGGAAUUAUUGGGCGUAAAGCGUCCGCAGGUGGCGAUUCAAGUCUGCUGUCAAAGCACGGGGCUUAACUCCGUUAAGGCAGUGGAAACUGAAUAGCUAGAGUGCCGUAGGGGUAGAGGGAAUUCCCGGUGUAGCGGUGAAAUGCGUAGAGAUCGGGAAGAACAUCGGUGGCGAAAGCGCUCUACUGGACGGCAACUGACACUCAGGGGACGGAAAAAGCUAGGGGAGCGAAUGGGAUUAGAUACCCCAGUAGUC
Molecule: ribosomal RNA, 430 nt
Filed under: uncultured cyanobacterium
Lineage: Bacteria; Bacillati; Cyanobacteriota
Description: bacterial SSU rRNA
Rfam family: Bacterial small subunit ribosomal RNA
Source: RNAcentral